AUCGAUUUUAUCCGGGAGCUUCAAAUCGAAACCAGGAGAGGGGGCUUUGAAAUGUCAAAGAAAAGUUGCAAAAGGAAAAAGGAGGUCUUUGGAGAUGGGAGGCCUGAGUUCCCCGCUGCCCCCAGGAGAGUUACAGGAUGCUAGGUCAAUAGGACUGGAUCAGCCUGACUUUCUGACGAUGUAGCAGCCUGAGGGGUUCAAGCAGAAGUAUCCCGGGAACCAAGCUGGAGUGGCAUUGACUUUCCUGUCCUGGCCUUGGAAAUCACAUGUCAUUUCUACCCCCAUCUCAUUGGAAGAAGCAGUCAAAACCCUGCCCGGAUUCAAGAGAAGAAAAACAAGACUCAUGAUCGAGAGCGCGAGGUCGCACUGCAGAGGAAGAUGGAGGACAAAGGAUAUUGUCGUGGCAGCCCUUGGAAAAUAGAAUCAGCCGCAGAGUCAAAGCUGGUGGCGAUGCAGCGUGUUCUGCUCAACAAAUGCUCCUCCCGGGUGAUGAAUAAGCAUGUGGAUGAAUAAGACCCUGUCCUUGAACUU
Molecule: long non-coding RNA, 531 nt
Organism: Hipposideros armiger (great roundleaf bat)
Lineage: Eukaryota; Metazoa; Chordata; Mammalia; Chiroptera; Hipposideridae
Exons: 3
Source: RefSeq, a predicted model, not a curated record